Long non-coding RNA from Mus musculus (house mouse), 1508 nucleotides. RefSeq annotates it as predicted gene, 42303. The transcript has 2 exons. NCBI's taxonomy places the organism in Eukaryota, Metazoa, Chordata, Mammalia, Rodentia, Muridae. The record is from RefSeq and is marked validated.
AGAUUCACUCAACUCAUCCCGGUGCACACAUAUGCACACCCGGGCUCUUCCCGCUCUGCUUCCUGAAGCAUAGGAGGAAGAAAGGCUGGUCGCGCCCUAUUCAAAGCAGUUGAAUAAUACAAGGGGCGUUCAUUGAUGAGACUGAGUUGUGUCUAUCCCAGUUCACCUUGGCAGCCUCCUUCUCGGACUUUUUUAGGAUCCUCACUUUGAAGGCAGAGAGGAAGGAAGGGAAGUACCCAAAUCUUGGUGUGAGAACUCUUAGGGUGCUUUCAGCUACUUGCUCUUACAUUAGCAAAGCACUGCUAUCUGACUUUCGCGAAAGACAACAAAAACCUCUCCAGACAGGCACCAGUUGUUGGACCAGGGUGGAUAAGGUGCCUGGUGCGGAUUGCUAGCUAAAAGACGUGGUGUUUAACCUUCUUCCCUACUCAUACGAUCUCCAGCAUGUGGGGGAAGUCAGCAGCUAGAAGCCUCCAUUGGCAACCGGCCCAUCAAAAUUCAUUAGGAACACCAUGAGAAAGGUCAAGUGAAGUGAAGCCUGGGCCUUCAAGCCACCUCCACUGCUCAUUCUGUGUUCAGGCCAGCCAAUGCAAACAACACUUACUCCUGCAGACUCCGAACAGUCUUGGAAGGAGCAAAGGAAGCUACAGCGCUGCUGCAGGACUGGGCUAGACCUUAUCUGCUGAGCAGAGUUCCUGGAGUCUGGUGAUAUGCAUUAAGGAAGCAUUGGCCUGGACCACUAGCAUUACCGUCUUGAACCUUUGCCUCGGCAAAGCUUCCAUCAGCUCAUAGCACUUCACUACGGACAGUGGUCUGCCCUCUCUAAAGAAAGGCAGUAGGAAACAAUGGACUGUGUGCUUCUGUAAUUUACAAAUUGACUGUGUUCCCAAACAUCAAUUCAGGCCAUCACUCAAUUCAAGCUAAAGGCCUGGGCUUCCAAAGUUCUGUGCUGUUCUUCAAAUAAAUAAAUCUCCACAUCCCGAGUGUAGAUAAACAGCCACUACAGGUGAAAUCCAGUUGUGGCUUCAAGGUUUUAAAUCAGAAAUCUGCUGUGGAAAGAAAUGCUUGCAAUCUGGAUCUUUUUUUUUUUUUUUUUUUUUUUUUUUUUAAUUUUACUUUCCUGGCUCUGUGUGUGGUGGCUGCUCCGUGGCUCAAUCAGUCGUGGGCAGGGGAGCUCAGGGUGGAUUUUCAGGAGACAGCCUGUGUUUAGACUGAAGGAGAUAUUUGGGACCCACAGAAGUGAGCCCUUCUCCUUUCACUCCUGUUUGCGAUGUGUCACAGUGGGGACUGCUAAUUCCCACCAGAGGCUAGUGUGUGUAUGUUUUCCAGUCCUCGUGGGUGAGCUUGGCAGUCAACACAGUGACUUAGACAUUGAAUGGGAGGCAUUCAUCAUGUUGAAGUCAGACAUCUAAGAGCAGCAAGUAUUUAUGAUGUGUUUAGAAUAAUAGGAAGUAAAAGCUUUUAUAAACAUGAAUCUUUAUGAAGAAUUAAAAAUUUUUAAAUGUGCU